ACAACUCUCUACGUCUCAAAUUUAACAAAUUGAUUGAAAGUGCUCUAUUUGAUUGAAAGUGCUCGAUAAAAUGUACUAAUUAAAACUUAAAAUUGUGAAUUCUGGAAAUUAUUUGGAUAAGAAGUUAGUUUUAAAGAAAAAUCGUUGGAUAAAUACGAACGAUGGAGAGAUCCUGGCUUUGUGAAUCAUUGUUACCGUCCGAUCCCAUCGAGGAAUCUCGGUGAAUGGGGGCUGGCUAUUCAUCGAGGAUCACAACGCGAUAUCAAUGGAAGUUGAGGAUUUCGAGGAGGGGAGGGGAGAGUAAUUCGCUAAUGGCAUCGAAGGGGAGAUGCGCGAACGCAGUCUGGCAUUCUUCCGCGUGACGAUGCCUUGCGCGGGAAAAGCAACCCUUCAUCCCUCGAUUCGACUUUAUCCAGAUAUAUCAGAGAGGAUGCGUUCGUUUACAACCCCUGAAAUCCUGGGACCAGUGAGUCGGAAGGAAGGAAGAUAAAAUCCCUAUUAGAUCGAAACGAUGCGAUUAACAACGUCGAUCUGGUCGACGUUUCAAAAAUUUCAUCCUCGAGAUGCUCGAAAAAUGAAUAUAAAAAUGUUUCGAGAAUGUGUGACGCAAGAAAUUGACAGAAGAAUAAACCAAUAAUUCACCGAUCAUCGGCAAGUGAAUUUUUCCAACAAACGAGUUAAACAAUUAUUUUUUCUCUUCAUAAUUUCGCAAGAAGCAUGAAACUGACUACCUAAUUAUUCUAUUCGAGAAGAAAUGUAGUUUAAAAGAAGAAAAAAAUCUGGAGCAAGGAAACGUCAUACUCUCACCUCCUCGAUUUCGUCCUUUUUGCAUGCCAGAAUCACGCCAUAGAAAAUCAAAGUUCGAUUGCCUCGCGCGAGUCGACUUCACCUUCUCUCGUCACACAGGCCGAGUUCAGAAUUAUCGUGCGCGCUACAUCGACGACGACGACGAUUCCAGUUGUGCCAGUUAGGACAAUUUAGAUCCAGCCGAGCGAUAAAUGGCGGCCGAUUGAAUAACGCGUUGAUUAAACGCGAUCUCAUUUCUGAUAAUACCGCCUUUCACCGCCCCCUAAACUUCUUCCAACCUCGAAUUUUCCCCCAGCGGAUAAACGAAGGAGGAAUUCGAAGGAAGAUCUUUGUCCUUUGGAUUAAUCGGGAUUUCUUUGGCCAAUUUGGUCGAAGGAUCUUAUCGCUCAAUUUGAGAAAUCGAUCGAUAUUUUUAACACGCGCGAUGAAGAAAUCCCUCCCCUUCGAGAAAAUAAUUGAAAUUUAUGAAUUUUUAUCAACCGAUAGAAAUUAUCAAAAAUCUUUAAAAAAAAUUCGCGCUUUUUUCGCGCACAAGGAUAUUAAAUUCUCGUUAGAUCGAGAUUUUAAUAUCAAACUAAAAGUAUCGAGUUUCCAUUGUGUAUAAUUAAAUGAUCCAAAGAAAUAUUUUCUUCCAUCGAAUAGAUCGAACAGGUAUAAAAAAUAUAAAAAAUAAAAAAACGUAUAAAAAAUAAAAA
Apis laboriosa (Himalayan honeybee) is the source of this 1502-nucleotide long non-coding RNA. RefSeq lists it as uncharacterized. The transcript has 3 exons. Lineage: Eukaryota; Metazoa; Arthropoda; Insecta; Hymenoptera; Apidae. The record is from RefSeq and is a predicted model, not a curated record.